GUGCUAAUUUUGGCAGCACAUAUACUAAAAUUGGAAUGAUACAGAGAAGAUUAGCAUGGUCCUUGCACAAGGAUGACAUGCAAAUUUGUAAAUCAUUCCAUAUUUUG
Molecule: small nuclear RNA, 107 nt
Organism: Mesoplodon densirostris (Blainville's beaked whale)
Lineage: Eukaryota; Metazoa; Chordata; Mammalia; Artiodactyla; Ziphiidae
Source: RefSeq, a predicted model, not a curated record